UACGUAGGGUGCAAGCGUUAUUCGGAAUUACUGGGCGUAAAGCGUGCGUAGGCGGCUUUGCAAGACAGAUGUGAAAUCCCCGGGCUUAACCUGGGAACUGCAUUUGUGACUGCAUGGCUGGAGUGCGGCAGAGGGGGAUGGAAUUCCGCGUGUAGCAGUGAAAUGCGUAGAUAUGCGGAGGAACACCGAUGGCGAAGGCAGUCCCCUGGGCCUGCACUGACGCUCAUGCACGAAAGCGUGGGGAGCAAACAGG
Molecule: ribosomal RNA, 253 nt
Filed under: uncultured bacterium
Lineage: Bacteria
Description: partial 16S ribosomal RNA
Rfam family: Bacterial small subunit ribosomal RNA
Source: RNAcentral